Molecule: ribosomal RNA, 1455 nt
Filed under: human gut metagenome
Description: bacterial LSU rRNA
Rfam family: Bacterial large subunit ribosomal RNA
Source: RNAcentral
UCGAACAGAAGAGUGAAAUAGUUCCUGAAACCGUGCGCCUACAAGCGGUCGGAGCUGCUUAAAGCAGUGACGGCGUGCCUUUUGCAUAAUGAACCUACGAGUUGCCUUUGCCGGCAAGGUUAAGUGUGACGACACACGUAUCCGAAGCGAAAGCGAGUCUGAAUAGGGCGUAUAGUCGGCAGUGGCAGACGCGAAACCAAGUGAUCUACCCUUGGCCAGGUUGAAGGCUGGGUAACACCAGCUGGAGGACCGCACCAAUAAGCGUUGAAAAGCUUCUGGAUGAGCUGAGGGUAGGGGUGAAAGGCUAAUCAAACUUGGAGAUAGCUCGUACUCCCCGAAAUGCAUUUAGGUGCAGCCUUGUGGGUUACUGAUGUGAGGUAGAGCGACUGAUAAGAUGCGAGGGCUUCACCGCCUAUCAAGUCUUGACAAACUCCGAAUGCGCAUCAGUUUUACCUCAGGAGUGAGGGCAUGGGUGCUAAGGUCCGUGCCCGAGAGGAGAAGAAUCCGGACCACCUGCUAAGGUCCCGAAAUGACAGCUAAGUUAAACUAACGAAGUCUGACUGCUAAGACAGCUAGGAUGUUGGCUUGGAAGCAGCCAUUCAUUUAAAGAGUGCGUAACAGCUCACUAGUCGAGGAGUCUGGCGUGGAUAAUAAUCGGGUAUUAAGUUGUCUACCGAAGCAGUGGGAUCAUUGAAAUGAUCGGUAGGGGAGCAUUCCAGUCAGCGUCGAAGGCGUACCGCGAGGUAUUCUGGAGCGUCUGGAAAAGCAAAUGUAGGUAUAAGUAACGAUAAAGGGGGCGGGAAACCCCCUCGCCGAAAGACUAAGGUUUCCUGAUCAACGCUAAUCGGAUCAGGGUAAGUCGGGUCCUAAGGCUCAGCCGAAGGGCGAUGCCGAUGGCAGAAACGGUUAAUAUUCCGUUACUACCUCCAGGAGUGAUGUGGAGACGCAGUAGUGACAAUGCCGCCAUCUGACGGAAUAGAUGGUUGAAGGGUGUAGAUGUUGAUCUUGGCAGGCAAAUCCACCAUGAGAAUCGAACCUGAUAGUAUGCCGCGUCCCUCGGGACAAGGCAAUAGUGCAUGUAAUCAUGCUGCCAAGAAAAUCCGCUAAACUAAAUCCUGUAGGUACCCGUACCGUAAACGGACACACGUAGUCGGGAUGAAUAUUCUAAGGCGCUUGAGUGAUUCACGGUUAAGGAACUAGGCAAACUGACCCUGUAACUUCGGGAUAAAGGGUCCCUACCCGGUGACGGGAGGGCGCAGAGAAUAGGUCCAGGCAACUGUUUAACAAAAACACAGGGCUGUGCUAAAUCGAAAGAUCCUGUAUACAGCCUGACACCUGCCCGGUGCUGGAAGGUUAAGAGGAGACGUCAUCGUUGAGAGAAGCGUUGAAUUGAAGCCCCAGUAAACGGCGGCCGUAACUAUAACGGUCCUAAGGUAGCGAAAUUCCUUGUCGGGU